GGAUCAUUAUCGAACAAAGAUUGUCGCUGGCGAAAGCAUGUGCACAUCUAACCUUCAUAAUUUACACACCUGUGCACCUUUUGUAGGUCCUCGAAAGAGGAUCUAUGUAUUUUCAUCAUCACAACCUAACGUAUGGUCUAGAAUGGUACACCGUUGACCACUGGGCGACGGAAAUAAAUAAAUAAUACAACUUUCAGCAACGGAUCUCUUGGCUCUCGCAUCGAUGAAGAACGCAGCGAAUUGCGAUAAGUAAUGUGAAUUGCAGAUUUUCAGUGAAUCAUCGAAUCUUUGAACGCACCUUGCGCUCCUUGGUAUUCCGAGGAGCAUGCCUGUUUGAGUGUCAUUUUAUUCUCAACCAUGUCUUCUUUUUGAGGGCAUGGCUUGGAGUUGGGGGUUGCUGGCUUGUCAGCUCCCCUGAAAUACAUUAGCGAUGGACAUGCAUAUGCCUUCCGACGUGAUAAUGAUCGUCGUGGGCUGGAGCACCGAUCCCCUAGAYGGUCUUAGUUACUAGUCUUACUCGACGAACACAAGGCUUUCUUGGGGCAAGGCCCUGUCUGCUCGCUUCGAAAUCCCAGAUGCCUUAGCUACUAGUCUGCACGACGAAUGCAAGGCUUCGCUUUGAAAGCUU
Molecule: ribosomal RNA, 628 nt
Filed under: uncultured Xerocomus
Lineage: Eukaryota; Fungi; Basidiomycota; Agaricomycetes; Boletales; Boletaceae
Description: eukaryotic LSU rRNA
Source: RNAcentral